Long non-coding RNA from Mus musculus (house mouse), 286 nucleotides. RefSeq annotates it as predicted gene, 53264. NCBI's taxonomy places the organism in Eukaryota, Metazoa, Chordata, Mammalia, Rodentia, Muridae. The transcript has 5 exons. The record is from RefSeq and is a predicted model, not a curated record.
ACGAGAUUUCCUGCUUUACCAUGCAGAGAUGAAUGUGUUUUCUGUGAUUGGAUGGUGUAGUCUACUGAUGUUAGUUCAAGGUGUGAGCUCUCAGCUGCUGUUCUUACUGCUUGUGAUCUGCUGACCACUCCUUACCAUUUGAGACUCCAGCCUUCUGAAACUUCACUGAUCAAAAUAUGCAUUUGGGGGACCCAAUAUGUUCCAGAGACAUUGUCCUCAAGAAGAAUUGAAAACCUGUAAUAGAUGGUUCAUCAGCUUUAUUUAUAACUUUCUAUCUUGAAAGCAA